RNAcentral lists this long non-coding RNA (3688 nucleotides) under Citrus x clementina. RNAcentral's name for it is "Citrus clementina (C. clementina) long non-coding RNA (CCLE_LNC002816)". The record is from RNAcentral. Lineage: Eukaryota; Viridiplantae; Streptophyta; Magnoliopsida; Sapindales; Rutaceae.
GUAUAUAUUAAAUUAUUGAAUUUUAAUUUUUACGGAUCCGAUAUUCAGAAUAUCUGCCCAUAUCCAUUGUAGAUAUUACCACCAUUCGGAUACACAUCUUUUUUUUUUUUGUGGAUACUGUUCAUGUACUGUUCACAGGUACUCCGAUAUUGUUAACGCGGCACUAUUUAUGGCACUACUAUUCAUUUGAUAGCAGUCAUAAGUUCAUCAAGGCGUGCGCAAUGCACUGUCCUUAAGACUAAUUUCUGGUCCUCUAGAAAGAUUUCCCAAUGUAAUAAGGACACAAAUAAUGCAGAUUGAUCUCUAGGAUUCAAUGAUACUAUUGUUGUGAGGUUGCACUCCAAACAACAGUGUAGAACACCAAAAGAAAAAAAUUAUGAAGGCAACAUAAGAUAGAUGGAGAGGUCAUAGAAGUUGUUCUUUAAAGCCUUUUAUGUCUUCUUUAUAUAGAAAAACUCCCUAUAAUCCUUUUCCUAAUUCAAUUUGAAUUAGUCAUUCAUGUGUCUCAUAAUUUAAUUCAAUUUGAAUAAUGCAAAUCUCGUCUAAAUUUGACUUAUUCAAUUCUAAUUUAUAAUUAAAUUAAACACAUGACUAAUUUCAAAUCAAACAUAAAAUUGAUUGCUCUCACUUCUCUCCAAUAUGGGAAAUUAGUAUUUUGAAAUAUCAAUAAAAUUCUGACAAUCCUCCACAUAUUUUGAAAUACUUCAAUUUUAUUCAUCAUAAAGUCUUAAUGCAUGUGAACUAGUGCCUUUUGGGCUAUGAACUAGCCAUUGAACAACUAAUCGUGUCUCACAAGAACUUGGUGAAACUUGUAGUUUCUAUGAAUUAAUAUGUCUUUUAGGUAAAGUAGAGGACUAGAAGCUCAUAUUAAACUCUUUUAGUCUUUUAUUGUUUUGUGGUCUGGCACUUUAAUGGCCCUAUGCCCCUACAUUCGAGUGCUCUAGAGAAGCCUGUAUAACUCUUAUAGGAAUCGACCCAAUUCCGCACUCAUAUAGGUGAAUUUCCAUCAAGUGUGUCAUACAAUUUUGACACACCACCAUACACAAAAUCUGGGCUAUGGAGUUCGUUAAGAGCUCAAUUGCUCAACCUAAAUCACUGCCUAUAGGCAACUAUCUCACAAUAGGGAGGACUCAAAUAAAUAGAUUGAUAGGUGUUGUGCAAAUUUUAUUGAACUCACAAGUAUACGAAUCUAUUGUAGAAUAGAUCAAUAGUGACGAGUGUAGAAUCAAUUUUCUAUUGUAGAAUAGCCCCCUUUUUAUAGAUACACUGAGUAAAUCAUGGUCAUCGGAUUAAAAACAAUUUGGAUGCUCAGGAUUGCGCCACGUGUCAACAAUAUGCGGUUUGAACACGCGGUUUGCAUAGUGAUGCAGUAUGAACAGUGAGGCGGCUUGAAUAGUGAUGCCGUUUGGUUAUAAAUAAUUCCGUGUAUAUGCAUGUACAUUACGCAUGAUUUUUAGUCUACUCACAUGCUGCUACGUCACCGAUCAACAAUACAUAAGAAUUUUAGUCCAAUAGGAUUGUGACACUUCAUUAGUCAAUGUCACGUCAUUGGUCAAUGCCACGUCAUUGGUCAAUGCUACGUCAUCGUUCCGUAUAUAUGAACAGUGUCGUGAACAGUUACAUGGACAAUACCGUACAUGUGAAUAGUGCCAUUUUUCCUUUUAUGCUCCUCCUAAGGUUUUCGACUGUCCUGAGUUCAAAAGUGAUGUCCGUUUUACUGUCUGAUCUCUCCUUCAUUAUGAAAUGACCAUGAUACCCCUAAAAUACUUAAUUAUAAUACAACAAAAAUAAUUAAAUCACAAGAGACUUAAAUACAUAAAAGUAGGGAUGUUAGUGAAACUUCGAGUGUAAAAUGACAAUUUUCUUCUUUAUAAAUAUAUACUUUCUAACACUCAACAAUAAGACCACAAAACAACAAGUGACUUUUUAUUACUCUUAUGAAAUUACUUCAUGGGAUCUUUAAUUCCAUAGAUAGGGUUACCAUGAUUUUGUCUUUGGUUAUAAACAGAAGUCUCAUCCCCUUAACAUAAUUACCACUAACCUUAGGUAGUAGUUUAUUAGAGAAUUGGCCAAAUGUGUCUUUGACAUCACAAUAGGGUAAUGUUCGGCCAAAGUUCUACCACUCAACUUCCUCUUUUUCUCUGGUCGUGCUAUUUCUAGUGAGGAUGCUUCACCAGAUUCUUCACUUGGGUGCCCACUUAUGGUUUCCUCUUAGCCAAAAGAUCCCUCGUCAUCACUGUUGCUAGGUGAGGUGGUUACUUCAGGAGACAUCCUCCUAGUACUACUCAUAACACUAGAAGGUCCUACCGGCUCUAAGGGGAUCCUGGGGUCAAAAGCAGGCUCGGCGAGUAGACUAGGCAGGAAAUCUAGUUAUCAUCAAUCUCAAUUGCCUUUUCCUUGCCUUUUGACAUUUCCUAAACUAUAUCCAGAACAAUGCAACCAAACACCAUUCAACCCAAGAAAAAACAACAAUUAUCCAAGACUGGAGAAGAGAAAAUAAUGCCUGGAACAGUGGCAUGCUGGAAUAGAGGUAAGAAAAGUGACUUCAACUUCGGUGGGAAAAGAUCGCUUGGCCAUUGGAGGGUGAAAAGAAGACUAAAAGAGGAAAUUUUAUUUUGAGAGUUAGGGUUCCCAAGUGACGCGAAAACCUUUGGUUUAUUGGCAUUUAACGGCAUGCACUCAGAGGGUUUCAUAACAGUCGGUUUGAAAUUUGAACGAAUGGAUAGAUUCAUGCCACCUCACCUGCAUUCAAUUAUGACGUGACUCUUCAGGAAAACGACUGUUAGGAGCUGAAAAGGGGAGUGAAUGUAGAAAGUAAGCAGAUCCUCCUCCCAACAUCAAGAGGUCGAAAUAUACCGUGAGCAAGCCAGGACUAUUAAGUUCUAGUAUUGAUUCAUUGCAUUACCAAUACCAAAAACUGGGGGACCGAUGUUUGGGGGUACAUUAUGGCGUGACCUGCCAUACCCAAACGAGGAGUCGUCCCUCUCGUAAGCGAGGAGCGAUGUGACGUCUGAGUGCAUGAGUCUUCUCUGCGUCUAUGAGGAGACCCUCUGUUGGGACCAUAAUAGGAGCAGGUUCCUUGCUAGGCGUCAAGAACACUUCUUGCUGGGGGCUAAAUCAGCAGACCCAGUCCACGACAGUUAAGCAAGACAUGCGCUAUUAUCCGAGAAUCUAAGCACGAAGCCCACUCAGCUGCAACCACCACAUUCACGUAGCCAUUUCCGGGGGUUGUGGCAAAGUGGCGAACGUGAGUCAAGGAGGGCCGAAUUCUCAGGGAGGCUAUAAAAGAGGCAAUCAAAGAAGGUAAAGGGGUUGGACAAAAACACUAAAAAAUUGGACUAAAAGAAAUUCCAGAGGGCAUUAUAAUUGGAACCUCAGGAAAAUUCAUAGAGAUUUUCAGUGCCUUAGAAACCAUUAUAGAGCCACAAAAUUAGUGGCAGAGUUUUUCCAAAAGUAAGCCCAAAUUUCUGACUUGAGCGUCGGAGGGUUUACGCUAAAAAAAUUCCUGGCGUGCUCUGACCAGUUUUUGUGUGCACAGGAGUCUGCCGAAGAAAAGUAGCAAGCGUCAUAGCUUUGCUCGUCUAGAAGGGGCAAAGUGAAGUUUCUCCAGUUAACUGCGAACUUGAGCGUUGAGGAGAGAUUCUCGUCGCGAAUGAGCAGACACCGAAUUCGCAUCAACAACAAAUAU